RNAcentral lists this ribosomal RNA (2952 nucleotides) under Triticum aestivum (bread wheat). Its description in RNAcentral is "partial small subunit ribosomal RNA". The record is from RNAcentral. Lineage: Eukaryota; Viridiplantae; Streptophyta; Magnoliopsida; Poales; Poaceae.
AUGGCGGCGGCUGUGUCGCGCGACGACGAGCUGGUGGUCAAGUCCCCCAGCGACAACCGUUCCUACCGCCUCCUUCGCCUCGCCAAUGGCCUCUGCGCCCUCCUCAUCCACGACCCCGAGAUCUACGCCGACGGCGGCCCUGCCCCCAAGCCCAACGAAGACGUGGACAUGGACGAUGGGGACGACGAAGAAGAAGAUGACGAGGACGACGAAGAAGAUGACGAAGAAUAUAGCGACGAGGAUGGGGAGGAUGACGACGACGAAGAAGGCGAGGAGGACGAGGAUGGGAGCGAGCCCAAGAGGAAGAAGGACAAGGGCAGCUCCGAGCCGGUCAUUAAGAAGGCUGCUGCUGCAGUGUGUGUUGGAAUGGGCAGUUUUGCGGACCCUCCAAAGGCACAGGGCUUGGCUCAUUUUCUAGAGCACAUGCUUUUUAUGGGGAGCUCUGUUUUUCCAGAUGAAAACGAGUAUGACAGUUACCUGUCCAAACAUGGUGGCUCAUCCAAUGCUUUUACCGAAACUGAGUACACAUGCUAUCAUUUUGAGGUCAAUCGGGAGUAUCUAAAGGGAGCCUUAGACAGAUUUUCUCAGUUCUUUGUAUCACCUCUUGUUAAGGCUGAAGCUAUGGACCGCGAGAUAUUAGCAGUAGACUCAGAGUUCAAUCAAGUUCUGCAAAGCGAUAGCUGCCGCCUUUACCAACUGCAGUCCCAUACUUGCUCUCAAGGGCACCCAUUGAAUAGAUUUACCUGGGGAAACAAGAAAAGCUUGUCGAAUGCAAUGGGCAGUGGAAUCAAUCUAAGGGAAGAGAUUUUGCAAAUGUACAUGAGUAACUAUCAUGGAGGGAUGAUGAAGCUAGUUAUAAUUGGGGGAGAACCCCUUGACACUCUAGAAGCCUGGACCAUGGAGCUAUUCAGUGAAGUUAAAGCUGGUCCUCUGUUAGAAAUAAGUCCAAAAACUGAUAUGCCUUUCUGGAAAUCUGGUAAACUUUAUAAGCUAGAGGCUGUCAGAGAUGUUCACAGUCUUUUCCUGUCAUGGACACUUCCUUGCCUGCACAAGGAAUACAUGAAGAAACCAGAAGAUUACUUGGCACAUCUCCUUGGUCAUGAGGGCAAGGGAAGCUUGCUAUAUUUUUUGAAAGCUAAAGGUUGGGCUAGCACAUUGAGUGCUGGCGUUGGCACUGGAGGAACACAACGAUCCUCGUAUGCCUAUAUCUUUGAGAUGUCUAUCCGCCUUUCUGAUUCUGGACUUAAAAAUCUCUUCGAGGUCAUUACAGCUGUGUACCAAUAUAUAAAUUUACUUAAGCAGUCUGAGCCGCAAGAAUGGAUAUUUAAGGAACUUCAGGACAUUGGGUACAUGGAAUUCAGAUUUGCAGAAGAGCAACCUCCAGAUGAUUAUGUUGUAGAUCUUGCAGCCAUUAGAUGUGAACCAUGGUUUGGUUCACAGUACAUUGAAGAAGAUAUUCCGUCAUCUUUGAUUGAAAGCUGGAGAAAUCCUGUGGAGAUAGACGGUAAUUUUCAUUUACCUCGGAAGAAUGAAUACAUCCCAGGGGACUUCAGUCUGCGGAAUGCUAGCAUUCCUAAAUCCUCAAACGAUGAUAAUCCUCGAUGUAUUGUGGAUGAACCAUUCAUAAAGCUCUGGCACAAGAUGGAUAUUACAUUUAAUGUUCCUCGUGCCAAUGCAUACUUUUUGAUCUCUGUCAAGGAUGGCUGCAGCAGCCUCAGAAACUCUGUUCUUACAGAUCUGUUUGCAAACCUUCUUAAAGAUGAGCUAAAUGAGGUCCUCUAUCAGGCUUACGUGGCUAAACUCGAGACAUCAUUAUCUGUCGUUGGUAGCAACCUUGAGCUAAAGCUUUAUGGUUACAAUGACAAGCUGGCCAUCCUGCUGUCCCACAUCUUGGCUGCUUCUCAAUCCUUUUCUCCAAAGAUAGAUAGGUUUGAGGUCAUCAAGGAGGACUUGGAAAGAGCUUACAGAAACACGAAUAUGAAACCUAUGAGCCAUUCCACCUACUUGAGGCUACAGUUCUUGCGUCAAAUAUUCUGGGACGUCAAUGAAAAAUUGAAAGUUCUUGCGACUUUAACCUUUUCAGAUCUGGCAGCAUUUGUUCCAGAGCUCCUUUCUCAGUUGCACAUCGAGGGCCUAUGUCAUGGCAACCUGUCAGGAGACGAAGCGAUAAAUAUAUCAAAAAUAUUCCAGAAUACUUUGUCAGGCCAGACACUGUCAGUGGAGGCAAGACACGGUGAAAGAGUUCUAUGCAUUCCUCAUGGUGCAAAUUUUAUUAGAAGUGUACGUGUGAAGAAUGAUCUUGAAGAGAAUUCUGUGGUUGAGGUUUAUUUUCCAGUCGAGCAAGACAUUGGAAAGGAUUCAACAAGGCUCAGAGCUAUUACAGAUCUUUUCAGCAAUAUCAUUGAAGAACCUUGCUUUGAUCAGCUGAGAACGAAGGAGCAGCUUGGUUAUACUGUGGACUCCAGUCCAAGGAUGACUUACCGCCUGCUGGCGUAUUGUUUUCGAGUUAUGUCCUCCAAGUAUAGCCCUGUUUACCUGCAAAGCAGGAUUGAUAACUUUAUUGAUGGUCUGUCUGCUUUGCUGGAUGGGCUUGAGGAGGAGACUUUUGAGCAUCACAAGAGUGGGCUAAUAGCUCAAAAACUCGAGAAGGAUCCUUCCCUUAGCUAUCAAACUGGUGAUUACUGGUCGCAAAUUACCGACAAAAGGUAUAUGUUUGAUAUGUCAAAACUGGAAGCUGAAGAGCUAAGGACAGUUGGGAAGGAGGACGUCAUCAGUUGGUACAAUGCCUACAUAAGAUCAUCUUCUCCAACACGUAGACGAUUGGCAAUACAUGUGUAUGGUUGCAACUCGGAUAUUGCUGAGGCUGCCAAGCUGCAAGAGCAGUCAUGGACUGCAAUUGAUGAUGUUGAAUCCUUGAAGGGUUCUUCCCAAUUUUAUCCGAGCCUCUGCUGA